This 367-nucleotide unclassified non-coding RNA is filed under the name soil metagenome. Its description in RNAcentral is "partial contains 5.8S ribosomal RNA, internal transcribed spacer 2, and large subunit ribosomal RNA". The stretch from base 1 to 120 matches the Rfam family "5.8S ribosomal RNA", at positions 35 to 154 of the family's 154-position model. The record is from RNAcentral.
GAUGAAGAACGUAGUGAAAUGCGAUAAGUAAUGUGAAUUGCAGAAUUCAGUGAACCAUCGAAUCUUUGAACGCACAUUGCGCCCGGCAGUAAUCUGCCGGGCAUGCCUGUCCGAGCGUCAUUUCUGCCCUCGAGCGAGUCCAGCAUCUAGGUGCUGGGCCCGCCCGGCGUUGGGGCACUACGGGAAGCCCUGUGCUGUCCCCCGUAGGCCCCGAAAUGAAGUGGCGGUCCUGCCGCGGCGCCCCUGCGUAGUAUAACAGCUCGCUUCGGGACCCGGUGGAGGCCUGCCGUCAAACCUUACUCUCUAAGUUUGACCUCGGAUCAGGUAGGGUUACCCGCUGAACUUAAGCAUAUCAAUAAGCGGAGGA